Molecule: transfer RNA, 73 nt
Organism: Gaeumannomyces graminis
Lineage: Eukaryota; Fungi; Ascomycota; Sordariomycetes; Magnaporthales; Magnaporthaceae
Rfam family: tRNA
About the family: Transfer RNA (tRNA) molecules are approximately 80 nucleotides in length. Their secondary structure includes four short double-helical elements and three loops (D, anti-codon, and T loops). Further hydrogen bonds mediate the characteristic L-shaped molecular structure. tRNAs have two regions of fundamental functional importance: the anti-codon, which is responsible for specific mRNA codon recognition, and the 3' end, to which the tRNAs corresponding amino acid is attached (by aminoacyl-tRNA synthetases). tRNAs cope with the degeneracy of the genetic code in two manners: having more than one tRNA (with a specific anti-codon) for a particular amino acid; and 'wobble' base-pairing, i.e. permitting non-standard base-pairing at the 3rd anti-codon position.
Source: Rfam
GAUCUAGUAACUUAAUUGGUAAAGGAUUCCCUUGUCACGGGAAUAGAUGCCGGUUCGAAUCCGGUCUAGUUCG